CUGGAAACAGAUGCUAAUACCGGAUAACAACACUAGACGCAUGUCUAGAGUUUGAAAGAUGGUUCUGCUAUCACUCUUGGAUGGACCUGCGGUGCAUUAGCUAGUUGGUAAGGUAAUGGCUUACCAAGGCGAUGAUGCAUAGCCGAGUUGAGAGACUGAUCGGCCACAUUGGGACUGAGACACGGCCCAAACUCNUACGGGAGGCAGCAGUAGGGAAUCUUCCACAAUGGACGAAAGUCUGAUGGAGCAACGCCGCGUGAGUGAAGAAGGGUUUCGGCUCGUAAAGCUCUGUUGGUAGUGAAGAAAGAUAGAGGUAGUAACUGGCCUUUAUUUGACGGUAAUUACUUAGAAAGUCACGGCUAACUACGUGCCAGCAGCCGCGGUAAUACGUAGGUGGCAAGCGUUGUCCGGAUUUAUUGGGCGUAAAGCGAGUGCAGGCGGUUCAAUAAGUCUGAUGUGAAAGCCUUCGGCUCAACCGGAGAAUUGCAUCAGAAACUGUUGAACUUGAGUGCAGAAGAGGAGAGUGGAACUCCAUGUGUAGCGGUGGAAUGCGUAGAUAUAUGGAAGAACACCAGUGGCGAAGGCGGCUCUCUGGUCUGCAACUGACGCUGAGG
Molecule: ribosomal RNA, 614 nt
Filed under: uncultured Bacilli bacterium
Lineage: Bacteria; Bacillati; Bacillota; Bacilli
Description: bacterial SSU rRNA
Rfam family: Bacterial small subunit ribosomal RNA
Source: RNAcentral